UUAAGACAGAGGGAUAUAAACUAAGCUUUGACCUUUUACUUCUUUUUUUCUUUUUUGUUGUUAAGGAUUUCAGGGAUCAAGUAUAGCACCAAAAUGCAGCUGUAUUUGUUACCAAAACCCAAUAAAUCUGUUUCCACCAUCAGAUAACAGCUUAAAAAUGCUUGAGCAUCAGGUCAACACUUUGUCCCUUCAAGUCACCUCUCCUGGCUUUUAAUUUGUCUCGCAAAUACCGAGCAAGUCAAAACAAGUUUGCCAAUCUCAUAAUGAAUAAUAGCAUAGGUUAUGUAAUUAUACUAUUUAUUGCAACAGUAGGCAGAUAAACUUCAAGAACCAUUGGCUAAAAAGAAACCUUCUAUUCUAUAUAAGUAGGCUGAUCCUAGUUCUGGAAACUCACAUUGUAGGCAGCUAAUCAUCAUGCAUGUAAAAUUGCAGUUGAGCCAUUUCCAAUGAUCCUCUAUAAAGCUCUUCAGUUCAGUUCACUAACCCUAAAACACUGAAAGAUCAAAUGCAUGUGGGUGAAACACAAACCAUAUGCAUGUGAUACAGAAGUACUUAAGAAUCUUAACAGAAUCCACAUAGGAAACAACAUGUUCUUGAGUUUGCUUUCUCCUAAACAAGUGAUCAAAUCAGAUUCAUAUCCAAAUUGUUGCCACUAGUCUACUACCUUAUGAAUUAUUUUAACAAUAUAGCCAAAAGCUAAUAUAGGAAAAUCUUCCAAGAAUGAUUAACACGAAACACACCAACACCACUACUUAGAGGUGGAAAGGGGCACGUUUUACCCUAGUAAACCAACCAUGAAGAAAGAUCUAGUGCUUUUUUUCACCUUUCGAUUUAUGGAUGAGUGUUCUUGGAGUAGUUGGUCUAGCUCUGAACCUACGUGCCUGACUUUUUUCUCAGGAAAUUCGCAGAAGAAGAUCCUGAAUUUGAGACUUUCUACAACAAAAUAUUCUCUUUGUUCUAAUUUGUGUCUCAAGUGCUUACCUCCACAAGAUGGCCAAUGCCCAGAGAAGUACAAUAAUAUUGACAAGACUGAGGUUGAAAGAAAAUUGUUUGGAGACAAGAAGCUGAUCAAAGAACACAUUCAGAGCUUUUAUGAGAUGCUCUUUACUGAAAGAUAAAAAUGUGGGGUCAAAGAAUGCAAGUGGAUUCAAAGGCCAUUUACAGAGGAAGAUGUAGUGGACGCACACAGGCAAUUUGAUGGGGAUAAAGCCCCUGGCACCUGAUGGAUUCAACAUGUCCUUUAAAAAAGGUUGACAGGACUGAUAUAAAUGAAAACAUUGGAAUUUUUUUAUCAGGAAUUGAAGGCACAUUUGAGAGGAGUUUCACUGCUACUUUCAGAGCUCUCUUUAAGAGAAGAGGAAAUGGAGAUUAAUGACUUUAGACCUAUAGCAUCCUAGUACCAUUUACAAACUCAUUGCAAAGUGCUUGCCGAAAGAUUGAAGACAUAUGAUAAGCAAACUCAUUACAGGCAACCAAAAUGCCUUCAUUAAAAGUAGACAGAUUUGGGUUUGUUUUUUUUUCAUGUUCGGUAAGUAAGAAAAUAUUAUUCUAAAAAUAUUUAUACGUAAUAAUUAUAUCAUAUCAUAUAUUAUUAUAAGUGGAAAAGAGUUUAAGUCAAAAGUUGAAUUACGAAAAUACCCCUAAACUAAUUUUUUUCCAUUAAAAAGUAUCUUUUACUAACUUUUAAAAUAAAAUCAAUAAUUACAUUUUCUCUAGCUACUUCCGUUUAUUUGCAUUAAUAAAAAAUUUCAAUUAAAAGUAAAAACACCUUUAAGGCAUUUUCUUUCAGAGAUCACAAUAAAUAUUGACUCUUCAUUAUUUUUCUUCAACUCUCGAACUUUUGCUCUUCUAACUUCCAAACUUUUGGCCUCCCAAUUCAAUAAAUCACUACAUAUACUUAACUCUCAUGCUUUUGCUCUUCUAACUUCCAAACUUUUGGCCUCCCAAUUCAAUAUAUCACUACAUAUACUUAUAACUUUUUAAAUCAUUUCACCUUGUAGUAGAUUUUAAUUUUAAAGCUGCUGAUUUUUUUUUCUAUUGGGCUGUAUCAGGUAUUGUUUCAUUUGUAAUAAAGAAAUUUUGUUUGCUUUAUUGAUUCUUGUAAUUUUUCAUAAUAAUUUCUUCUUCUUCCAUUGAUUAUCAGGAUUUCAAUAAAGAUUAUUUUCUCAGUUAUUUAUGUUUUUCAUUUGUUAUUGAUAAAGUAUGUUUGCUUCAUCAUGUAUGAAAUUGAUUUAAUUUGUGUUUCAGUUGCAUUGAUAUUCUUUAUUACAUAAAGAAUAAUUUUAUUUUUAUUUUUGUUUGAUUAGAUAAAAAUAAUCUUAAUUAUUAUACUGAAGAAAAAUAAUGUUACACCUUGUGCACCAAUAAAGCCAUACGUACAAGUAAAUAAAUACAGUAUAUUUUUGUUUGUAUCAUUGUAACUUUUUUUUUUGGCACAAUUAUUGUAAAUUUUUAUUUUAGUUUUGUACCAUUUGUUAGCAAGGAAUAGAUGUCUCAGUUCUAAGCAAAAUAUUUGGCAGAUUUAGAUGGUAAAAUUUAAAUUUUGAUACAAUUUAUUUUGUUAAAUUGAAAUUUGUAAGUUAAUUAUAUACGUCAAAGAACUUAAAUCAAACUCUUUUUUUCAUUUCUUCCAUUUCCGGAAGUUGAUUUGAAUGAUGAAUUGAGAUAUGAUUAUUUCUUACGCAAAAAUUAGUUAAACAUUAAAUAACUUUUUUAGUAUCGAAUACGUCCGUAACUUGACAUAGGUGAAAUUCAAGUAAACAAUCCAAAAAAUAUAUUUUUCUUUUCUUUUUGAUCAUUUUUUGUUAUGUCAACACACUGUGUUAAUUUAUUUUUAUUUAUUUAUUCAAUAUAAUAAUAAUGAAAAAAAGUAUGUUUUAACUAUAAUAAGUGAAUGUAUACUUUAUUUGUAGCUUCUAUUUUAUAAAAAUGAAAUUUGUGAUUUAAUAUUAUGUCAAAUAAUUAAAAUUAAUAUAUUUAAUCUUCAUUGCGGUUCUUUUAUUUUCAAAAAUUAAUUAGAAUAGGAGAACCAUUUUCAUAAGUUAAUUGUAAUAUAAAAAGAAAAUUAUUUUGAUUAUUGAUUCUUGUGUGCUAUAUAGUACUUAAUGUUUGUUAUCUACAAUUUCACUUUUAUAAUAUUUUUAUAUUUGUUGAAUAUAAACUUUUCACAUUUAGCUAUGGUUUGCAUUAAUUUAUUUAUUAUUUAAGUUUUUUUUCCCAAUAGUAUGAUGACAUGUUUAUCUUAUUGCUUUUCACGUUAAUUGGGUUGAUAUUACAAAUAUUUUUUUAUGUUAAAAAUGGAAGGUUUUAAAUUCAAAGUUGGAUUACGAAAAUGCCUUUCUCUAUAUUUUUUAAUUAAAAAUUUACUUUUUUCUAACUUUUAUAAUCAAAUCAAUAAUGAUAAUUAAUAUAUUAUUUAUUAGAAAGUUUAUGUUAAAAUGUUGAACUUUAUUAUAUGCUUUUGAAAUAAACCUAUAAUGACACUUCCACUUUAUUAUAUGUUUUUCAAAUAAACAUGUAAUGACACUUCCAUGAAUUAUAAAAAGAGUUUUUCUGACUCUAUUUUAUAUUAUUUAUUUUCACCAAAUUUCUUACAUUACAUGGCUUUAAUGGACGAACUUGGUGGACACAAUAAGAUAAAUAAAUUAGAAAUAUGAGUUGGGACGGUAUAAAAUUUAAUAUAAUGAUAGGGGUCAAGCAUACAACGCACGUUCCUAGUGUGUAUAUAUAUAUAUAUAUAUAUUAAAAUUUAUCUUUUUUUAUAUGCAUUUACUUUUUGUACCUUAUAAUUUUUUAUUUAUAUUGUUUUCUCUUUUUCUACCAUACUGUUAAUAUAUCACAAAUGAUUGUGUUGUAUUUCAUAAUUCAAUUAUAUGUAUAUAGUUUGAUAAAAAUUUCUUUUGUCAAAAUUUACAGAUGACAGAAUUAAUAAUUUUGAAUGAGCCAAAGAAGACGAAGGGUACAUAUACAUGUAAUUAUUAUUUAUAUAUGUCAAUUAAAUAUUUAAACAAUGAUUAUUUUAUAACAAAUAAAUACCUUUUUUUGUAGGUUUAGACUAUGAAAUUGAUAAUGAUCUACUAGCCAUCCUAAGGAAGACAUAUGUUGAUCGAAUUUCUCUACAACUAUUACAAAACACCACUCUCCUUCAACGACAAGUUCUCGAUAUGUAUGCAUUUGUAAAAAAGUGGAGGGUAUUCCUUAAAAAGAAGGUGGAAACUUUAAGGCAUUAAAUCUUUUGCUAUAAUGUCGACAUUUAAAUUAUGUGUUGUAACAUAUUAAAAAACGAACUUUUAACAAGUUGAAUACUUGAUAUAUUAUAAGAAUUGUAUAAUUGAAGUCAUUAUAGUAUUAGUUUUGCAAUUCACUUGAUAACAAUAUUUUUGUAUGAUGUGCCUUGCAAUGAUCAUAAUAUCAGUUGAAUAUGCUCACCGUUCAUUGAUUUGAGCUUGUAUUUUACACAUCGUACACUUAUAAUUUAGAAGUAUUUAUACUAAUUAGCACGAUCUACACGUGCAACGCACGUGUUCAAAACCUAGUUAAAAACUAUAAGGGUGGAAUAGUCAAGAGUGAGAAUUGAUGGGUAGAGUGGAGAUAAUGAAUUUGGAAGGUUACUUAUGAAACUUUUGUUUCCUACUUUCAUUCCUGCAAAUGACCCUAUUUUAGGUGGUCUUUAUUUUUCCCCCUCAAAUUGAUGGUCUUUAAUUUUUGUCUUUUGGACACUUUUAAGCAAAAUAAGUGGCCGAAAAGCCUGAAAAAAAUAAAAUAAAAUAAAUAAAUAAAUUGCAAUACACUAGUUAUGCCUUUCAAGGUAUAAGCUAAUUAGUUUCAGAAUAUUAAGACUUAAAAAGUUCUUAACUACAAAUUAUGGCACUUAAUUCCUACGGAACUUUUUUGAACAAUAUAAAACUUCUCUAAACAUUUACCUUGUGAAAUUAGGUCAUAGUUAAGGAUAUUUUGUCCACAAAUUUUCAUUAAAUGAGAAGCAAAGACAAAAAUUUAAAACCAUCCCAAAAUAUGAGCAAUUCGUAAAAAACAACUUGAAGUCAUUUUCCUCAUUUUUAAGAAACUCUGCAUUUCCAUUUCCAACAUCAUUAAGAAAAAGGUAAACGCCAAAGUGUUCUCUUCAAGUUGGAACUUUCUCAUGGGGACCAAAUGUCACGUCCCGAGCCUACACCCUGGGCGUGGCCGGCACUCGACGACCAUUUCUGGCCCCGAGCGAACCCUUGGCUUGGCUACUUAACUCAGCGGAAACUUAAUUCAACAGAAUAACUCCAUGCAAUGAAAGGUCAUAAAACAACCUAACUGAUAAAAUCUGGCUAAAAAGGUAACUCGUGUCUCAAAAUAGAAUAUUUAUAUAUAUACAUAAAGAUGAGAGACUUAAUACUAACUGACUGACUGUCUGUGAACUCUAUAACACUGAGAUGGAUGUUGGGACAGACCCCGCAACAUCCUAACAAAGCAAAACUAGGAAACAAAAUAAUAGAGUCCUCCGGAAAGCAAGGAGGCUCACCACUGACUCUGGAGUGCUCAGCUGGAACAACGGCGUGCUGGAUGCUAAUCCUGGGUACCUGCGUCUGGAUCAUCAUAAGAUGCAGGCCAACUGGCAUCAGUACAUUGAAUGUAUGAGUAUGCGAGCUGGAAAGCUAAACAACAACUUAAGCUUGAAAGGAGUACAAAGGAACACUUACCUUGGCUCUGUUCAACUCAUGAAUAACUAAACCCAAUAUAAAGCAAUAAGACACAUGCAAUAUAUAAAGCUUGUAAAACAAUGUAAACAACUUAGUUCGUUAAGGAUAAAACAAUAACAAACUCAACUUUACUUAUAUAAAAGUAAUAUAACUUUAGUGGGAGAUUCUUUAACCGACAACCACCACUAUGAGCCAUAGUGACGAUACAACGUUUUACAUCACGUUGCCCAAUGAACAUCCUACACCUUGCCGUGAUAUAGGACCUUACUUAACUUAGUGGAUCCACUAGCUUAAUCUUACGUGAUCAUCUAAAAAGAAUGACCCGUUAAGUCCCAUGUUUGGCUACAUGGUUCUUAUGGAGAGUUGAGUUAAUAUGAACUCGUGUCCCCAAUUCGGUGCUUAAGACUACUCCCAAAAUAUACUUUAGCUCAUAUGUGUUUUAAACACCUCUUUCUUUAGUUUGAGAUAAUUACUCAAAAUCUAGUCCAAAGGCUCACUUGGAAAACAUAGUUCCUUUCUUACUCAAAUGUAAAAACAUUUAUAAACUUCUUUGGGAAUACUUAGUUCCCUAAUAACUUUUGAGAAAUGAACUCAACUCUAUACUCUUUACUUUACUUGAAACUCUAUACUCUUUACUCAACUUGAUACAAUGAAGACUCUUGAAAAACUUUAAAGACUUGCUUUGACUUACUUCUUAACUUCUAAGCUUGACUCUAACUUCACUUGACUUUGAUCCUAACUUUCCUUGAAUUGGAUUAUGAAUUCAAGGGUAAUGAUCUCAUGUUUAUGGAUGAGUUCUUGAUGUUUAGAUGUACCUUAGAGUGUUGAAAACAACUAUAAAACAUAGGUACAUUACCAAGGAACAUGUAUGAAAAAGUGGGGAAUGAAUGGGGAGACUUGGCAUCCUUGGCGCUCUGAGAGGCGCGGGGCGGCAGACCUCAAAGUUCAGACAGCCUGGUGUUGCGCUCUGCAUGGCGCGCCGCCCCAAGGAGGGAACUUCAGAGUCCCUUUUGGGGCGCGCUGGCUAGAGCGACGCCCCAGCCUUUGCCCCCGAAAAUCCGACCUUUCUCCCUUGUUUUUCCAACUCUAAACCUUCUUAACUUCAAAGGUUCCAGCCCCAAACACUUAGAAUCAUAAAACCACUCAACAUACAAUAGAUUCAACUCGAAAACACAACCGGAAACAUGUCCCAAAUCAACAAGAACUUCAACACAACCACAAGACUUCAACAAACACAACCAAAAUCUUUUCUCGGAAAUUAAAACGAGUUUGGUGUCUGGGGGAUGAACCAACCCAACACUAUGAUCUCACAUACCUUAAUAGGGAUCACCCCCUACGAAAACUACGACGAUCUUUACGGACUUUGCUUCUUCUUCUCCUUCUCCUCUUCUUUCUCUCUUCACUCACAACCCUAACACUCACCUUUUAAAUGGGAACACUGAUUUAAAAUCAGUCUAAAUCCUUAAUAUAACCAAAAGAAAUGGUUAGGGAAAAGACCAAAAUACGCUUACAAAAUUCUGAUUGAAUUCUCUGAGCCAACAACCCAACUUCCAAAGAGCAUAACUCACUCAUACGAACUCAGAAUCGAGAAAUCUCGGUGGCGUUGGAAAGAUCAUUCCAAGGGCUUUGCAAACAUAACAGGAAAUACACCUAAUUCAUCCUGAGCUAGGAGUUAUGACUGUUCAAAGUUGACCAAAAACUCAUUUUUUUCCCAUACUUGAACCAAAUUUCCAGAUUUUUGAAUUAUUCCCAAAAAUGACUAUUUGCAAUUUCAAGCUUCUUCAUAGUUAUUUCAAAUUGCAAGAUGUCACAAAUCUCCCCCUUGGGAACAUUCGUCCUCGAAUGAGACUAUUCUUACUAGGCUAAGGGUGUAACAUCAAACUCAAACGCCCAACAAGCAACCAUGCAAACAACAACAACAACAACAACAACAACAAUAUGCUCACUAUAAUUUAAAGAGCACUAAGAAAAUAUUUCUAAUUGAAGGCACAUUUGAGAGGAGUUCGACUGCAACUUCCAGAGCUCUCUUUAAGAGAAAGAGGAAAUGGAGAUUAAUGACUUUAGACCUAUAGCAUCCUAGUACCAUUUACAAACUCAUUGCAUGCAACCAAAAAUGCCUUCAUUAAAAGUAAACAGAUUUGGGGUUUUUUUUUUUCAUGUUCGGUAAGUAAGAAAAUAUUAUUCAAUUCCUCUUCUUAUUGUAUUCUGUGCCCUUCGUUUUUUAUUUUGUUCAAAAAUUAACAAAUGCCCAUCGAUUUUUAAAGUGCAAACUACCGUUUAAGAAUAUAAAUAAAAAUAAUAAAAGCCUAUAAUUAUUGUAUUUUGUAUUUACAUGGUACAUAAAAUAAAAUAAAAAGAGUUAAGAAUCAAACUUGAACACUAUUUGAAAUAAAGCAUACCUUCAUGAAAAAUGUGGAUUUUAAUGAAUUGCCACUAGCAUGGUCCUUGAGCCUCCUCCCUUAUUUAUUUUGUAUCAAACUUUAUUAAUACUACCAUCAUUUUUCUUUUUCUCAUUAAUAUUUCCUCCAUCAUGACUUCUAUUUGGCUAGUAACUCUUGCAUUAGUUGCAAUAAUAUUCCUUGUGAAAGAAUUCAUGAAGAGAAAAGAACUUCCUCCUGGUCCAAUAGGGCUUCCACUUCUUGGAAAUCUUCAUAUGUUUGGUGAAAAUCUUCACCAAGAUCUUUAUAAAAUAGCCAAGAAAUAUGGUCCAAUAAUGACCAUAUAUUUUGGUCUUGUUCCUACUAUUAUUGCUUCUUCUCCUCAUGCAGCACAACAAUUCUUAAAAAACCAUGACCAAAUUUUUGCUAGUAGACCAUACCAUGCAGCAUGUUAUUACAUUUUUUAUAAACAAAGAAAUUUGAUCAUGGGAAAGUACGGACCUUAUUGGAGACAUAUGCGUAAAUUAUGCACUCAACAAUUGUUAAGCAAUGUCAAGAUCAAUUCAUUUCAAUCUAUGAGGAAACAAGAGCUUCAAAUUCUUGUGAAUUUCCUCGAAAAAGCAGCUUCAAAUCGCGAUGUGGUUGAUCUUAGCGCUAAACUUGCAUCUCUUAGCGCUAACAUGGCUUGUCUUAUGGUAAUUGGAAAGAAAUAUAACAAUGUAGAUGGGGAUUUCAAAGAUAUGGUCAAAGAGACGUCGCGUAUGGCAGCAACGCCAAAUCUUGCUGAAUUAUUUCCCUUUCUUCGUUUUAUUGAUUUCCAGGGAUCGAUUCAUCGUAUGAAACAAAUAGCUAAGAGUUGUGAUGAAUUUUUGGAGAAUGUUAUUGAUGAACAUGCUCGACAAUAUUCGAGUGACCAGUCGAAAACUAGUACAGAUAUGGUUGAUACAUUGAUGGAAAUUAUGCAAUCUGGAGAAGCUGAAUUCGAGUUUGAUCGUAGACAUGUCAAAGCUAUUUUGUUGGUAACGUCAUAUCAAACUUCUUGAGACUCCAAAGUGUUUAUUUUAUAAUUCAUAUAGCCAAAUCUAUCUAGCUUGGGAUUGAAGCGUGCAUGUUUGUUCAUAAUGUAAAUGUUACAAUAACAUAUCUUUUCGAAAUGUACACCAAGAUCACUUUGAUGUUGUUGGUAUUUGAUUUAAUAUUUUUUCUAUAUUUCACCAAUUAGGUUGAAGAAAUUACAAUAGUUGUGUCUACUUGAUUUAGAUCUAAAUAUAUUGAUCUUUGGUGACAAAGUUUUCACAAUCACUAAAUAUUUUUUUUUCAAUAUACAGGACUUGUUGGUAGCUUCAAUGGAUACUUCAUCAACAUCAAUUGAAUGGAUUUUAUCAGAACUUUUCAGACAUCCUAAUGUAAUGAAGAAACUUCAAAGUGAGUUGGAUUAUGUAGUUGGCCAAAAGGGGAUUGUAGAAGAAAAAGACCUAGAAAACCUAGAUUACUUAAACAUGGUCAUAAAAGAAGGCUUUAGGCUCCAUCCAGUUGCACCCUUAUUACUUCCACAUGAGUCAAUUGAAGAUUGCACACUUGAUGGAUUUCACAUACCUAAAGGAUCUCGAGUUUUGGUUAAUGUUUGGGCAAUCGGAAGAGAUCCAGAUGUUUGGCAUGAGCCUGAAAAGUUCAUACCAGAGAGGUUUGUUGAAAGUACUAUUGAUGUUCGAGGACAAAAUUUUCAACUUCUGCCAUUUGGUUCUGGCAGAAGAAGUUGUCCUGGUUUACAGUUAGGACUUACCAUUGUUCGUUUGGUGGUAGCUCAAUUAGUUCACUCCUUCGAUUGGGAGUUUCCAAAUGGUAUGAUGUCAUGUGAUAUUAACAUGACUGAGAAAUUUGGUUUGGUAACAGCUAGAGCUCUAUCUCUAAUGGCUAUUCCUAUUUAUCGAGUAAAAUGAAGUAUCUAUUUUCCGUAUUUUCAGUGUAAGUGUAUGUGUGGAAACAUUAUUAUAUUGUACAACUUGUUAGUUUCAUUUUAGUUUUGAAAUUCAAUAAUCUCUUGCUAAGAAAAUAAUGACAGUAUUCUUCCUCUUCUAAGGGAUAUGAUUGUCGUUCAAUAAUGAUUUCCUUAAAUCAUAUAUUAUUAUAAUUGGGAAGAGUUUAAGUCAAAAGUUCAAUUACGAAAAUACUCUUACACUAAUUUUUUCCAUUAAAAAAGUAUCUUUUACUAACUUUUAAAAUCAAAUCAAUAAUUACAUUUUCUCUAGAUACUUUUGUUUAUUUGCAUUAAUAAAAAAUUUCAAUUAAAAGUAAAAACACCUUUAAGGCAUUUUCUUUGAAAGAACACAAUAAAUAUUAGCUCUUCAUUAUUUUUCUUCAACUCUCAGGCUUUUGCUCUUCUAACUUCCAAACUUUUGGCCUCCCAAUUCAAUAUAUCACUACAUAUACUUAUAACUUUUUAAAUCAUUUCACUUUGUAGUAGAUUUUAAUUUUAAAGCUGCUGAUUUUUUUUUUCUAUUGGGCUGUAUCAGGUAUUGUUUCAUUUGUAAUAAAGAAAUUUUGUUUGCUUUAUUGAUUCUUGUAAUUUUUCAUAAUAAUUUCUUCUUCUUCGAUUGAUUAUCAGGCUUUCAAUAAAGAUUAUUUUCUCAGUUAUUUAUGUUUUUCAUUUGUUAUUGAUAAAGUAUGUCUGCUUCAUCACGUAUGGAAUUGAUUUAAUUUGCGUUUCAGUUGCAUUGAUAUUCUUUAUUACAUAAAUAAUAAUUUUAUUUUCUAUUUUUGUUUGAUUAGAUACAAAUAAUCUUAAUUAUUAUUCUGAAGAAAAAUAAUGUUACACCUUGUGCACCAAUAAAGUCAUACGUAGAAGUAAAUAAAUACAAUAUAUUUUUGUUUGUAUCCUUAUAACUUCUUCUUUUUUUGGCAUAAUUAUUGUAAAUUUUUAUUUUAUUUUUGUACCAUUUGUUAGGAAGGAAUAGAUGUCUCAGUUCUAAGCAAAAUAUUUGGCAGAUUUGGAUGGUAAAAUUUAAAUUUUGAUUCAAUUUAUAUUGUUAAAUUGAAAUUUAUAAGUUAAUUAUAUACGUCAAAGAACUGAAGUCAAACUCUUUUUUUCAUUUCUUCCAUUUCCGGAAGUUGAUUUGAAUGAUGAAUUGAGAUAUGAUUAUUUCUUACGCAAAAUUAGUUAAACAUUAAAUAAUUUUUUUAGUAUCGAAUAUGUCCGUAACUUGACAUGGGUGAAAUUCAUACAAUCCAAAAAAAUAUAUUUUUCUUUUCUUUCUGAUCAUUUUUUGUUAUGUCAACACAGUGUGUUAAUUUAUUUAUUCAAUAAAAUAAUAAUGAAAAAAGUAUGUAUCAACUAUAAUAAGUGAAUGUAUACUUUGUUUCUAGCUUCUAUUUUAUAAAAAUGAAAUUUGUGAUUUAAUAUUAUGUCAAAUAAUUAAAAUUAAUAUAUUUAAUCUUCAUUAUUGCGGUUCUUUUAUUUUCAAAAAUUAAUUAGAAUAGGAAAACCAUUUUGAUAAGUUAAUUGUAAUAUAAAAAGAAGAUUAUUUUGAUUAGUGAUUCUUUUUUUUUUUGGAUGAUGAUUAUUGAUUCUUGUGUGCUAUCUAGUACUUUAAUGUUUGUUAUCUACGGUUUCACUUUUAUAAUAUUUUUAUAUUUGUUGAAUAUAAACUUUUCACAUUUAGAUAUGGUUUGCAUUAAUUUAUUUAUUAUUUAAGUUGUUUUUCCCAAUAGUAUGAUGACAUGUUUAUCUUAUUGCUUUUCACGUUAAAUGGGUUGAUGUCACAAAUGUUUUUUUAUGUUAAAAGUGAGAGGUUUUAAAUUCAAAGUUGGAUUACGAAAAUGCCUUUCUCUAUAUUUUUUUAAUUAAAAAAUUACUUUUUUCUAACUUUUAUAAUCAAAUCAAUAAUGACAAUUAAUAUAUUAUAUAUUAGAAAGUUUAUGUUAAAAUGUUGAACUUUAUUAUAUGCUUUUGAAAUAAACCUAUAAUGACACUUCCACUUUAUUAUAUGUUUUUCAAAUAAACAUGUAAUGACACUUCCAUGAAUUAUAAAAAGAGUUUUUCUGACUCUAUUUUAUAUUAUUUAUUUUCACCAAAUUUCUUACAUUACAUGGAUUUAAUGGACGAACUUGGUGGCACACAAUAAGAUAAAUAAAUUAGAAACAUGAGUUGGGACGGUAUAAAAUUUAAUAUAAUGAUAGAGGUCAAACGUGCAACGCACGUUCCUAGGAUAUAUAUAUUCAAAUUUAUCUUUUUUUUAUAUGCAUUUAUUUUUUGUACCAUAUAAUUUUUUAUUUAUAUUGUUUUCUUUUUUUCUACUAUACUGUUAAUAUAUCACAAAUGAUUGUGUUGUAUUUCAUAAUUCAAUUAUAUGUAUAUAACUUAAUAAAAAUUUCUUUUGUCAAAAUUUACAGAUGACAUAAUUAAUAAUUUUGAAUGAGCCAAAGAAGACGAAGGGUACAUAUACAUGUAAUUAUUAUUUAUAUAUGUCAAUUAAAUAUUUAAACAAUGAUUAUUUUAUAACAAAUAAAUACCUUUUUUUGUAGGUUUAGACUAUGAAAUUGAUAAUGAUCUACUAGCCAUCCUAAGGAAGACAUAUGUUGAUCGAAUUUCUCUACAACUAUUACAAAACACCACUCUCCUUCGACGACAAGUUCUCGAUAUGUAUGCAUUUGUAAAAAAGUGGAGGGUAUUAUUCCUUAAAAAGAAGGCGGAAACUUUAAGGCAUUAAAUCUUUUGCUAUAAUGUCGACAUUUAAAUUAUGUGUUGUAACAUAUUAAAAAAAGAACUUUUAACAAGUUGAAUACUUGAUAUAUUAUAAGAAUUGUAUAAUUGAAGUCAUUAUAGUAUUAGUUUUGCAAUUCACUUGAUAACAAUAUUUUUGUAUGAUGUGCCUUGCAAUGAUCAUAAUAUCAAUUGAAUAUGCUCACCGUUCAUUGAUUUGAGCUUGUAUUUUACACAUCGUACAUUUAUAUUUUAAAAGUAUUUAUACUAAUUAGCACGAUCUACACAUGCAACGCACAUGUUCGAAACUAGUUAAAUACUAUAAGGGUGGGAUGGUCAAGAGUGAGAGUUGAUGGGUAGAGUGGAGAUAAUGAAUUUGGAAGGUUACUUAUGAAACUUUUGUUUCCUACUUUCAUUCCUGCAAAUGACCCUAUUUUAGGUGGUCUUUAUUUUUCCCCCUCAAUUUGAGGGUCUUUAAUUUUUGUCUUUUGGACACUUUUAAUCAAAAUAAGUGGCCGAAAAGCCUGAAAUAAAAUAAAAAAAAACCAAAAAAAUAAAUAAAUUGCAAGACACUGGUUAUGCCUUUCAAGGUAUAAGCUAAUUAGUUUCAGAAUAUUAAGACUUAAAAAGUUCUUAACCACAAAUUAUGGCACUUAAUUCCUACGGAACUUUUUUGAACAAUAUAAAACUUCUCUAAACCUUUACCUUGUGAAAUUAGGUCAUAGUUAAGGAUAUUUUGUCCAUAAAUUUUCAUUAAAUGAGAAGCUAAGACAAAAAUUUAAAACCAUCCCAAAAUAUGAGCAAUUCGUAAAAAAAAACUUGAAGUCAUUUUCCUCAUUUUUAAGAAACUUUGCAUUUCCAUCUCCAACAUCAUUAAUAAAUAGGUAAACGCCAAAGUCUUCUCUUCAAGUUGGAACUUUCUCAUGGGGACCAAACACAAGUCUUCCAUUGGCUUGGGACCCAAAGGAGUAAUAUUGGUAAUGAGAAGGCCACAGAACUUCAAGUAGCUAGAUGGUUUAAUUGCAUUUACUCUUAUACAUAAUACUAAUAGUGAAGUCUCAGCUUUACCUGAGUAAUACACAAAUAUCUAAAGGAAACUCUCAGCUUAAAUAUUUUAUAUUAAUCCUUGUAAUUAUCAUUCUGCAAACAUGCAAUGCUAAGAAGAGCAAACACUACUACUGUCCCCCUUCUGCUUGUGACCAUGUGAUCCGUAACAUAAGCUUACCAGCUUUUUGCUGGAACACCGACUCAGAACAUUGCGGAGAUGAUAAUCAAACAUUUUCCUUUCUGAUUUGUGGAUUGCAGAGCCCAUCUUCAUGUUCAACUCUCCAUUUGCUGUUAAUAACUCGAUAUUUGUGGAAAUUAGUGCCUGCAAAUUAAGCAGAUACACUUAUUUAAAGAUUGGAGAAAUGAGUGCCUUUGAAGUCAGUGAUGGAUGCAGAGUGGAAUUUAUAGGCUUGACCUCAUGGCCUAAUAUUAAAGAUGCAGAGAACAGCAUUUCCCUUUCUGAUUUUCAUCAAGCAGUCCUCGCUUCGUUAUUAUCUGCGGAAUUCUCCACUAAAGAUAAGUAAGGACAUCAAUUAUAUAUGCUAUGCUCCUUAAUUUUUGUAGUAAUACUUCCUUCCGUGGUAAGUUUUUAUAUAAUAUUAUGCUUACAUCUUCUUCUUUUUUUAAUAUUUGUUUUCUUAACCUAAUUUUUGUCAAUAUAAAAAUUAAUGAUUUAACUAAAUCUCCCUUUAUCAUAUAUUAUUUAAUUUAAUUAAUUUUAUAACAUCUUUUUAUUCAAUUUAUCAAAAAAAACUAACUUCGCAAAGCAAACAAUUUUUUUAUUCAGUAUAAACAUGCAUGUCACACUAAAUAAUAUCAUAUUAAAAUACUAGUAUCAAAUAUUCAAUCCACAAGUUUAAAAUGAAAUUUCAAUUAAAAACCAAGGAAGCAUGAUUAUAUUACCGAAGAGGUUAUAAGUGGAAAUAUUUUUUGAAAAAUUAUAGGUUUGUUGUCUUCUUUUAUUUAUUUUUACUAUUUUGCUGUCGUGUUUCCUCAAUAUUUUUAAUAGGGUAAUAGUUAUUGAUAUGAAUAUUUUAAAAAUCCAUUUCAUAAAUUAUUAUUUUUUGUUUGCAAUAAGACCAAACUGAAAAAUUACUUGAAGAGACGAAGCCGGAGCCAAGUACAUUAAUGCUUAAUGCUUGGACAGUUGAGUUAAUAUUAAUUAAGUUAAGAAAAUUAUUGUUAAAACAAAAGAGGCAAACAUAAUAUUAUUAACUACAACGGAAGUAAGUAUUAUGAAACUAAACUUGAAGGGUAGUUUGUGCAAUUAUCUCUUUUAUCUUUUGAUUAUAAUGAUUUUGUAGAAAAAUAAUUUAACAUGAGUGAUUUUAUAAAAGAAAAUUCAUAAGUUGAAUGACUUUAUUGAUACAAAAUUAAGUUGAGUACUUUCUUAAAUAAUUUCACAUACUUGAGUGAUCUUUUGAGAUAUUUAUUCUUUGAAUCGUUGGCAUUUACCUAUCUAAUGAGCUAUUAAAUUUAUCUUUUGAGGUCUACAAUUUUCUUCUGCCCAUAAUUUCCAAUUACUAGCAAACAAGGUAGUCUUGAACGACUUAUCUAGUCCACAAAUUCCACAUAUUGGAUAUCCCCUACCACAAACAAUUUCUUAUAUUUGAAAAUUCAGGCCUAAGAAUAUCAAAUUUAACUCAUGAAAAUAUAAAUCAUGUAAUUCGUCCAAACUUAAUUGAAGAGGGUUAGACUGGGCAUAGAUCAAGUCAGCACAUCUAAAAGACUGGAAUGAUUUGGGAUGUAUAUAUAGCCUUAGAUUGAUGCAUGGAAACAAAAAACUAAUUAGUUUUAUUUUGUAGUCAAACAAAUUUAUAAAGGUAUAAAACAACAAAAAGAAAAAUCAUAUUGAGUUUGGACAAAUUGGGUUAUAAUGGAUUGUUUUUGCCCGAAUUCAGCCACCCAUCUUGACCCGAGCAAACGUCACUACACAUAUUAUGGUCAUAAAUAUAUAGGUAAACGGCAAAGUGUUCCUCUUCAUCAAAUUGCAACUUUCUCAUCAACGACCAAACACAAGUCUUCCAUUGUUAAUGAAAAGUCCACACCAGUGGCGGAGCCACCUUAUUGCUAGGGGUUCAUCCGAAUCCCCUUCGGCAGAAAAUUAUAGCAUUUAUACAUGGUUAAAAUAAUUUUUUAGGUGUAUAUUGUAGACGUCGAACCCCCUUCGGCUACUUCGUGUGUUUAUUUUUUCAGAUUUCGAACCCUCUUAUUAAAAAUCCUGGUUCCGCCACUGGUUCAAGUAUCCAACAAACACACCAACAUUCUUUUCUUCUCUUGGAAAUAGUAGAAAUUAAGAGAGUACAAAUGUAUUUGUGUAGGGGAACCAUUCUGCAUAAAUAUUUUACGUUAAUCCUUGUAAUCCAUAUUGGGCCCGUGUCAUGGUCAUUUCCUCUAGUUUUAAAAGAGGUUUAAGUGGAUUAUUUUUUUAAAAUAACUAAAUAGCAUAUUGUAAACAUUUUAAAAGAGGUUUGAUAUUUUAUUAUUUUUCAAAAUUUGAUUUUAAAUAAAAAAAAAUCCAUGUAAACAAAUUCUAAUGAAAAAAGAUAAUUAAAUAGAUUGAGUGACUUUUGAAGUAAAAAUCAAAAUUGAAUAACUUUAUAAGUAAAACACUUAUAAUUAUUGAGUAACUUUUGGAGUAAAAUGAAAUUAAGUGAUUUUCGUGAUAAACUUCCAUAUUUGAGUGAGCAUUGAUGAUAUUAAGUCUUAAUAAAUAGGUAAACGGUAAAGUCUUCCUGUUGAGGGCCCUUUCAUCAAAUUGCAACUUUCUCAUCAACGACCAAACACAAGUCUUCCAUUGUUAAUGAAAAGUCCACACCAGUGGCGGAGCCACCUUAUUGCUAGGGGUUCAUCCGAAUCCCCUUCGGCAGAAAAUUAUAGCAUUUAUACAUGGUUAAAAUAAUUUUUUAGGUGUAUAUUGUAGACGUCGAACCCCCUUCGGCUACUUCGUGUGUUUAUUUUUUCAGAUUUCGAACCCUCUUAUUAAAAAUCCUGGUUCCGCCACUGGUUCAAGUAUCCAACAAACACACCAACAUUCUUUUCUUCUCUUGGAAAUAGUAGAAAUUAAGAGAGUACAAAUGUAUUUGUGUAGGGGAACCAUUCUGCAUAAAUAUUUUACGUUAAUCCUUGUAAUCCUCUUUCUGCAAACAUGCAAUGCUAGGAAGAGCAAACACUACUGCCCCCCUUCUGCUUGUGGCCAGAUCCGUAACAUAAGCUACCCUUUUAGCUUAAACACUGAUCCAAAAGAUUGCCGUUUUCCAGGAUAUGAAUUAGGUUGUGAAGGUAACCAAACAGUACUAUCGCUUUUCUCCAAGAAGUUUCACGUUCAAGGCAUCGACUACGAUAAUAAGACAAUUCACUUGGCAGAUCCAACUUUACAAACACAAGGUGAUCUGUGCUCUUUCAGACCUAUGCAUAUCUUCUUCCACCAAUACUAUAGUAUCUUUGACACAUAUUAUCAUUAUCAUAAUGGAUUACAGCGUCCAAUGGCAGAGCCUAUCUUCAUGUUCACCGCCUACUUGAGAAUUUAAUGUAUAAGCUCCAAUAUUUUGGGAUUUUUGGACAAAAGAUUAGUAAGGACGGACUUCAAUUAUAUAUGCACUGCUUCUUAAUUAACAUUCUUUUCCAGUCCUAAGAAAUUAGGAAAACAAUGGAUUCACUUACUACAAUUUAAUUUCUUCAUUUCUUUGUAGGUGUUACUUUUCUCUACAUAUACUUUUAAUUCUGCAUUUAUAUCUCAUUCUAUAUUUUAUGCACUUUAAUCUAACCAGGGACCAGUCUACGGCCACUUCUGUAUUUCACGGAUAAGCUCCUAUAUGAUGGACAAAGGGGAUAAUUAACAUUCUUUUCCAUCCUCCAUAGGUAUGAAAUUAGGAAAAACAAUGUAUUCACUCACUACAAUUUUAUUUCUUUAUGUCUUUGUAGGUAUUAUUCAACAGAUUCUCAGUGAGGACUCAAACUUUUCUCCAUAAUAAUAUACUUUUAAUUCUCCAUUUAUCUCUCAUUCUAAUUUUUUUUCACUUUAAUCUAACCAGGAACCAGUCUGUCGCUACUUGUGUAUUUCAUGGGUAAGCUCCUAUAUAUAGUGUUAAUAGCAACUCCCACAAUCUAUCCCAUAAUGUUGUUAAUUCUUUUGUUCUUAAAUUUAGAAAAUUCAUUAUAUAUAAGAUCAUAUUACAUAUACCAUUAGAUGUUAUUAUUACCUUAGUUUUUAAAUAAGUUCAACAUUUCCUAUUUUGUAAAAUAAUUACUAAAAAUUAAAUGAUAUUGCUGUGUUUGCAUAGAGUGUUUGCAUAGAGAAAACAUAUACUUAGUAGAAUAUAUAUAAAAUUAGGCAGGUACAAAUUUUAUACAGGAGAGAAACGCGCAACACACAUUCGUAAAGACUAGUAAUUUAACGCAAGUGAGCACAACACAAAAAUUCUAAAAUAAAACAACUCGAAAUAUAUUAUUGUUGUUGUCUUAUGUAAGUGUGUGUGCAUAUAUAGAUAUAUACUAGUAAAGAAAGCCCAGGCAACAGGGGUAAAGUUAUAUUAUUGUUAUACAUUAUGUACCGUUAAAAAAUUAGUAUAGAUUGUUAUAAUAUAUUUUGCUCAGAAGUGAGCUAAUAUAGAAACUUAUUUGUCUUUUGUCUUUUUAAUUUCAAUUUCAAAUAACAAAUAAAUGUAGCAGAUUGAGGAUAGAAAUGAAACUUAUCUUUCUAAAUCUAAGUAAAAAUAAAUAGAGUAGAAGUAACUCAAUGGGACGGUUCGAUCGGUUAUUUUAAAAAAAUUAUAUGAUUUCAAUUUUUCGGCUAUUUUAUAAUGUAUAACCAAAAUUAAGUUUUUAAAAACUAUCCCAAUCCCAAUUUAUGUGACAAAAAUUAGCCUUUUUUGUUGUCUUUUAGAUAUUUUAAGUUAUUAAUUAUUAUAAUUUAUAGUACUUUUAUGUUAUUUUUAAUUAACAUAUGUUACUUUUUAUGUUCCAAUUUAUAUGAAUUGAUAAAAUUUCGUGAGUUCACCAUUUUUUUUAUAUGUAUUUUAAAUAUUUUAAGUUGUUAAUUAUUGUGAUUUAUAGUAAUUUUUAGAUUAUUCUCAAAUAAUAUAUGUUACUUUCUCAGUUCCAUUUUAUGAGGCACAAUUAAAUUUUCAGAGUCAACAAAAGUUUUAUAUCUUUUAAAUAUUCUAAAUUAUUAAUUAUCAUAAUAUAUAUUAUUAUUAUUUAUGUAGUUCUAAGAUGUAUAACAAAGUUUUAAAAAAAAAUAAGAAAAAAAAUAAAAACGAAAAAACAAAAAAUACCACGACAAUUAAACAGAUAAAGAAAGCAAUAAGGUGGUUCCAUGGUAAAGCAGGAGAAUGGGUCCCAUUAUGACAUAUAAACAUGGUCACAAACCAAAAGAAUACAAUUGUCCAAGCAGAGAAAAACAAAGAAGCAGCUUUAAAAGCAUGAAUUGACCACAAUAGCCUCAAGUUGAAUAACAAUUCCAAAUAGCAUACCUGAUGACGGAGAGUGGACUGCGAGUCCGGAGCCAAAAGGGUAAACAAAUUUAUCAAAAAUUCCAAAAGGGUGACAAAAUUUAUUUUAGAACCAAAAGGGCAACUUUGUAACGGUUGAACUAUCAUCGUUCAAAUUAGGUCGACCGCCGCAAGGCGCAGCCAUCUUUGUUUUGAUGAUGGUUGUGCCUUGCGGUUGUCGACCUAAUUUGAACGGUGUCAAAUUCACAGUUAGAAAAUUGCCUUUUUGGUUCAAUAAUCAAUUUUAUUGCCCUUUUGAAAUUUUUAACAAAUUUUCUUACCCUUUCGAUUACGGACUCAUGUUUAUUCUCCUUUCUUAGUAGUAAAAUAGUAAGUAAUAUAUAUAUAUAUAUAGUGUCAAUAGCAAUAUUUGUGAAAAAAGACUUCUCUUCAAAACUCAUAAUUUCUGAGAAGAAUAGAACGUCCGCAUAAGAAAAAGACAUCUCUAUUGGCUCAAGAGGAAGUUAACGUUAUGACUUCUUAAUCUUGCAACGUAUUUGGGCGCAGAAUUUGUAGUAGGCCUUCCAUUGGUAUUUGCAUUUCUGGUGAUCAAAUUCAGGAGGAGGCAUUUGUCCAUGUAUGAUGCGAUUGAAGGCUUUUUGCAAACACAAAACAAUUUCAUGCCAAUCAGAUAUAACUACACCCACAUAAAGAGAAUGACCAGAGGGUUCAAAGAGAAAUUAGGUAAGGGAGGUUACGGCAGUGUAUACAAAGGAAAGCUUCAAAGUGGAAGAGAUGUAGCAGUGAAAAUGUUGAGCAAGCCUAAAGCUGGUGGGCAAGAUUUCAUGAAUGAAGUAGCUACCAUCGGAAGGAUUCAUCAUGUCAACGUGGUUGGCCACACAACAUUCUUUUGGAUGAGAAUUUCAUUCCAAAGAUUUCUGACUUUGGGCUUGCAAAGUUAUAUCCAACAGAUAAUAGCAUUGUGACUCUCACAGCUGCUCGCGGAACGAUUGGAUACGUAGCUCCAGAGUUGAUCAACAGAAGCAUUGGAGCAAUCUCUUACAAAGCUGAUGUGUACAGCUUUGGAAUGCUGCUAAUGGAAAUGCUGGACUUGAAGAGACAUGAAGUUGCAAAUGAAGAGAAUUCCAGCCAAUAUUUUCCUUAUUAUAUUUACGAUAAGUUCAACAAGGGGAAGGAGAUCCUGGUGGAUGAAGAAGCAAAGGAUGAUGAAAAGAAGAUGGCUAGAAAGCUGAGUUUAGUUGCAUUAUGGUGCAUUCAGAUGAAUCCAAUACAACGCCCUUCAAUGAGUAGACUAUUAGAAAUGCUUGAAAGUGAAGUUGAAGUGCUAGAAGUACCUCCUCAGCCUCUUCAAUCUCAAUCGAUAGUUCAUCAGAUGAUGGGAAGUUCUAUGACAUUUUUGUCUGAUUCAAUGGCUUUGUUAGAAAAUUCUGUUGUUAAUGCCGUUGAAGUAGACAUUUGUUCUCAUUAGAAGUGUGUAUCGGUCGAUUCGGUUUGGUUUUAUGUAUUAUCGAUUUCGGUUUUAAAUAUGCUAACUCAAUAACAAACCAAUAAGAUAUAUAUUUAUCGGGUUUUGAUCGUUAUCGGUUUACCCAAUAAGAAAAUGUCCGUAAAAUAUUAUAUGACUUCUCACUUCUCUAAAUGCUUUGAUAUAGUGAAACAAGAAAGAUAAUGAGAAAUUGCAUCAAUAAGAAAAAAUAUAGUACGAGCUAUAAUUACAUGUCACUGCCAAACAUAGUAUGAAAUUUCUGAUGUUAAUCAAAUUACAAACCUUUACAAACUUGCAAAUGCUACAACCUACAAUUACAAACUAAAACUAAAACUAAAACUAAAAUCAAAUAGCUACAAUUGUGAACCUUUACUUUAGUCUUUAGGUUUUGAGUAAACAAUAAAGACUAGUAAAGCGGUCUAGUGUGAAGAGUACUAAUAAUUUGAUAUAGUUAUAGUCUCUAGUUAUAUAUUAAAUUAUUAGUAUUUAAUAUUUAGGAAGGGUAAAGUAGUUAUAUAGUACCGUCCUAUUGGGUUAUCGGUUUACCCAAUAACCCAAUAGUAAAAAUUGAAACCGAACCAAUAACCCAAUAACUUUGUUUUAUAAGCCCAUUAAAAACCCAAUAACCCAAUAACAUUUUUUCGGUUCGGGUUUUGCACACCCCUAGUUCUGAUUGAUUAUAUGCAGAGAAUAGCAAAAGAAGAGUAUAGUCAGGAAACCUUCUGCUAGCCCAAGAUCAUUAACUAAGAUCGAAAAACUCAACUAAAGAAGAGGAAGCUAGAAAAGAAAAAAAAAAUUUGGAUAGGAGAACUUUGUUAUGGAAGAACACUCUUGAAUUGCUUUCAAUUGGGUUUUGUUACAACUUACAAUGUCUAAUGCCACCCCUAUUUAUAGUUGCGUAGGGAUGAUUCUAGAUACUAAGAAUCUAGAAUGUUCUAACCUCUUCUACAAAUAUCUUCCUCAAAUAUCUAAUAUUCUAGACUAUCUAGAUUUUUCUCGAGUACAAAUAUCAAAAAUAUACUCUACAAAAUUCUAGAAAGUUCUACUAAAUAUCUAAGAUAUUUUUUGUACCUCUAAAAAAUCAACUUUAAUUUUUCACAUUAUAAUUGGGUAAUGUUCAUUCAAAAUGACAUAUAUGCGAGAAGGGCUUCACGUUUUACGGGGGUUUGGCCACAAAGUGAGAUUGAUGUAAUUCUUCCAUUUAGUGCCCGAUCAACAACCCAUUUUAGUUAAUUUUCUAUAUGUUAGUUCCUAACCUAUGGAUAAAUCAAUUUAAAAAGAAACUUCUAGAUUUCAUAGUGGGGCUCGACUUUUCUACUCGAUUUUUUAGCUGAACUUUUAUAUGGCAAUAUGGUCUGUACAGAGAUCCAGAGCUUAGAAGAAAUUGUGGAUACCAUGAGAAAAAGCAAUGUUGAUGAUGAAGUUGAAGAUGAUAUUAUACCUUUGGAACCAGUUACGCGUAAGAAAUCACUUAUCGCAUCUAGAACUCUUCACAAUUUUAUGGUGCAGUUCGAAAAGACAACACCAGAGCUCUUGGAUGCAAUAAGAAAAGUUAGAGAUGAGCUUAAACUAGAUUUAAAUUAUUUUUAAAAAAAAACACAAUAGAAUCAUAUUUCACUAAAUUGUCUUAGAUAUAGUUGUACUUUUAAAGAAUUAUUAAUUUAUGAUAUUAAUGGGACCAUAUAUUUAAAUAGGGGUCUUCUGGAAAUAUAUUAUCUUAUUAUCUUAUCGAAAUUGGUGAUUUUUUCCAUUGGCCCAAGUCGGGACCAGAGGAAAAUAUUACUUUAGAGAGAUUAUUAAUUUACCGAGUAUUAAUUUAUAGAGAUUUUACUGUACAUGAACUCAGGAAGGUGUGUGGAAAAAUCCGCACCACAAAAACUGAAUAGUUUCCUGUGUGGAAAAGUUCGCUCCACAAACUGAAUAGGUUCAAAGGGAAAAUAUUAAGAAAAAAAGUCUAUUUAGAUUGACUUAAAAGUUGAUCAAAUCUACUCAUUUUUAGUUUUUGGGAGUGUUUGACAAAAUCAAAAAUAAAUUUAAAAUGUCUUAAAAAAUAGUUAGAAGUAGCAGUUCCCUGCUUUUUAUUUAUUUGACUUGACAGUCAUUUAUGUUUGAAUUUUUUUUUUUUUUUUGACUUGAAAACUACUUUUUUAAGAGGGUGUUUGGAUUAGCUUAAAAGUUGGCCGAAUCUACUUUUAAGUCAGUUUUUGAUUUAUUGAAGUGUUUGACAAAUAUAAAAAUAACUUAAAAUAAAUAAAAAAUGACUUGAAAUAAAGUUAGGAAGUGUUUAGCAAGAUUAAAAAUAACCUAAAAUAAGUUAAAAACAAAAAGUAGGUCCCCCCUACUUUUUAUUUCUUGGCUUAAAAGUCAUUUAAGUUUGACUUUUUAUUUUUGACUUAGAAGCUAUUUUUUUAUGUCAAUCUAAACGAUAGGGGUGGACAUUCGGUAUUCGAUUCGGGUUUCUCAAAUUUUGAGUUUGGUAAUUUGGUAAUUGGUAGUUAAAGUAGAUAUCAAAUACCAAAAUUUUAAAUUUCGGUUUGGUAAUUCGAAAAACAAUAAAUUAAACUUCGAUUUGGUGCAGUAUUCAGUAAUACCGUAUUCAAGUUAUAACCAAUUGUAUUACAAAUUUAAUAUUAUUUCUCUAAUCAUUUCUAUUUAUUUAUGUAGACACAUGAUAUAAUAGAAGAUCAAACAAGUAAGAAGACAUUUCUUUUUUUUUUUAACACCCGGAAAUUGCUUCAUAAAGGUUUUAAGACAUUACAUGUACUUGUGGAUUUUUCACAAGUUUGAUUUAUUAAAUCCUUCAAGAAUGAAAUCAGCCCAACUUUAGAGAAGGUGAAGAAAAAGAAAAAAGAAUGCAAGGCAUUGGGGUAGAAUAUCCACAAGCACCUCAAGUACUUGAAUUGAAGUAGAAAAUAAAUUAUUCUGCUGUCUUGGAGGUCCCUUCCACUUGAAGUUGUCCGCAUAUGACUUGAUCUUUAACAAUGUUGUGUGUCGUUUCUUAACCGUAUAUUCCCAGCCUUGCUUUUCAGCGAAUGCUUUUGCAGCUUCUUCACUCUCAAAACUAAGUGCUGAAUCACCAACAUUGGCAUAUGGGUCCCCUGUGGAUGUCCACCCCAUCAAUGGAUUCUCCCAUUACUGGGUAGACAUGAAAUUGAUUUUCCAUCUGCCAACUUUUCCAGAGCCCUGUUGACUAGCAGUCCGAGCAGGUGAGAAAAUCACAACCCUUCUACGAAGAUGUUCAUCUGGAAUACCAGAGACCAUACCGAUCUCUCCGGGCUUGAUUUCGACCAACGCUUCUGACGCAAAUUGUCUCCAUAUCAGCGUCAGAGAAGAUCGCCUGGCGGCUUGCGAGGAAUGCGUCGCUAUUCGUCGGAGAGAGCUAGCCAUUUCCCUGAGAUGAUAGAAUCCGGCUGAAGUGAUGAAGCCAGAAAAAUUACUUUGCCCUUUGUAUUUUUAUUUUCACGGUGAUGUGGACAAGUAAGAAGAUAUUAAGAAAAGCAAAUUGAUACAACUAAAAAACAUGUAUUUGGAUUAUUCAUGCUUAUUCUUUAACUUUUUCUUUAGACUUGUACUCAUGAGUAAUGGAUACGUUGAUAUAUGACCUUCAUUAGGUAAAUAAUUUAGUAUUUGGGAAAAUACCGAAUACCAAAUUAUACUAAUGUCUCAUACCAAAUCCAAACCCGAAUACCAUAAUUCUAAAAUUUUACUCAUGAGUACCAUACCAAAUACCGAAUUACCAAAUACCAAAUAAUCAAAACUUUUGAUUCGAUUCGAUAAUUCGAUUUCGGUAUUUUAUGCCCAGCCCUACCAAACGGGCUCUAAGUCAAUCUUGAGAGUUGGAAAAUAUUGACAACAUAUAUAGUACUAGACUACUAAAGUGAUUAGCAUCAAACUGAAGAAUGCAAGUAAGAGUUUUAGAAAUGUCCAUCUUACUUUUCUUGUUAUUUUCCCCAUUGCUUAGCUUAGGACACAGACUAGAGGCGGGUUGUGAGGAUUCUUCGUGCAAGAAUGAUGGUCUCAUCAUUCAUUUCCCAUUCAGACUCAGUCAUCAACCAAAACAUUGUGGCAAUCCUGGCUUUGAACUACACUGUAACACUAAAAAGACACCAUCCUUGAGCUUCCUCGUCUGUUCACUUAGUUGUUGAAGAAAUUGAUUAUGUCUCACAGAAAAUUAACCUUUACGAUCCUGACGAAUGCAUAGCAGCCAAGCUACCAAAACUGAAUUUGUCACAAUCUAAUUUCAGAAAUGCUGACGAUCCCACAGUCCUAUUCAAUUGUUUUGCACCAUUGGCAUACUAUUAUGAUAUUCAUUUUGUUCCUUGUCUUGGUUCUUCUGGUUACAAAGUUUAUGCUGUUCGUACGACUCAAUUAUUGUAGGUGUAAUUUUAGGUACAGCGCUUGUUUGCAUUAUUGUCUUCUCACUUUAUCAGCUAUAUUUGACAAGUAGAAAUGGAAGAGAGAGUCGAGUUAGACUUGAAAAGUUUUUGGAUGACUACAAGGCCAUCAGACCAACACGAUAUUCAUAUGCUGAUAUUAAGAAGAUAACAGAUGAUUUUAAUGAAAAGUUAGGAGAAGGGAGUUAUGGAACUGUAUACAAAGGCAGACUUUCCAGUGAAAUCUAUGUUGCAGUAAAAGUCCUACGCGAUUCCAAGGGUAAAGGGGAAGAAUUUAUCAAUGAAAUUGGUACAAUUGGGAGAAUCCACCAUGUUAACGUGGUCCGCUUAGUUGGGUUUUGUGCUGAUGAAUUCAGACGAGCUCUGAUCUACGAAUACCUACCAAAUGAUUCACUUGAAAGGUUUAUUUUACCAGUGAGCUCAAGCCCGGGUAGUGUCUCACUCAUCAGCUGGAACAAGCUUCAACAUAUUGCUCUGGGUACUGCAAGAGGGAUUGAGUAUCUUCACCAGGGAUGUGAUCAGCAAAUCCUACAUUUCGAUAUCAAACCACAAAACAUCCUUUUAGACCACAACUUGAAUCCCAAAAUAUGUGAUUUUGGCCUAGCCAAACUGUGUUAUAAAGAAAAAAGUGUGGUCACUAUGACAGCUGCUAGGGGAACCAUUGGUUACAUUGCACCAGAAGUGUUAUCAAGAAACUUUGGUAAAGUUUCUCAUAAGUCUGAUAUUUAUAGCUUUGGGAUUCUCUUGUUAGAAAUGGUUGGUGGGAGGAUAAAGAUGGAUUCUAAGACGAAUAAUCACAGCAAAGUGAAUUCUUUGGAAUGGAUAUAUGGAUAUUUGGAGAAAGGGGAAGAAUUAAAGAUUCGGAUAGAGGAAGAAGGAGAUGGUACAAUUGUGAGAAAGUUAGCUAUUGUUGAACUUUGGUGCAUACUGUGGCAUCCAAUUGAUAGGCCUUCAAUAAAAGAAGUUACUCAGAUGCUGGAAGGAGAUGGGAGCCAUCUCAACUUGUACCCAAAUCCUUUUAUGGCUAAUAAUACGCCUAAGUUAAACGCAAGUCCUCUCAGUUAGGAUCUAGAUGUGAUAUUAGAAAUUGAAUAACACUUGAAAGUCAUUUGUAUAAUGAAAAUGAGAUAGUAUAAGAAUUGCAAAAGUAUUUUGUUUCAUAGUAGUGAUCAGCAAGCUUAAUGAUAAAUAUAUGUAGACUUAUUUCUCGAUUUGUAUGUAUUAGAUCCUCAUGAGAUGCACUAGUCCACCACGUACUAAGGGACUGGGUUGGUUUUACACUAAAAUGCAGUAAAAGAGACUAAAGUUUGAAAUAAAACAACAAGGAGUUUUACAUGGAAACCUCCUUGCUCAAGGGAGGAAAACCACGACCUGUCACACAGGAUGUCCAACUGCUUUUACUAUCUUCAAGCAACAAGUGAUUACAGACUCCAAACACAUAUUCAGAGAUUAAACUCUUAAUCUCACCACUCAUAAUAACUCUAUCACAGAAAGAGCCGGGUAAUACCUAUAUUGCCCACUAUAUUAACUA
Molecule: long non-coding RNA, 26675 nt
Filed under: Solanum tuberosum (potato)
Lineage: Eukaryota; Viridiplantae; Streptophyta; Magnoliopsida; Solanales; Solanaceae
Description: long non-coding RNA (STUB_LNC003093)
Source: RNAcentral